GCCGGAUUAGCUCAGUUGGCAGAGCAGUUCAUUCGUAAUGAAAAUGUCACCAGUUCGAAUCCGGUAUCCGGCACCA
This 76-nucleotide transfer RNA is filed under the name Morganella morganii. RNAcentral describes it as "tRNA-Thr". It matches the Rfam family "tRNA". From Rfam's summary of the family: Transfer RNA (tRNA) molecules are approximately 80 nucleotides in length. Their secondary structure includes four short double-helical elements and three loops (D, anti-codon, and T loops). Further hydrogen bonds mediate the characteristic L-shaped molecular structure. tRNAs have two regions of fundamental functional importance: the anti-codon, which is responsible for specific mRNA codon recognition, and the 3' end, to which the tRNAs corresponding amino acid is attached (by aminoacyl-tRNA synthetases). tRNAs cope with the degeneracy of the genetic code in two manners: having more than one tRNA (with a specific anti-codon) for a particular amino acid; and 'wobble' base-pairing, i.e. permitting non-standard base-pairing at the 3rd anti-codon position. Lineage: Bacteria; Pseudomonadati; Pseudomonadota; Gammaproteobacteria; Enterobacterales; Morganellaceae. RNAcentral also lists the same sequence under 1 other name. The record is from RNAcentral.